RNAcentral lists this transfer RNA (76 nucleotides) under Candidatus Altimarinota bacterium. RNAcentral's name for it is "tRNA-Arg". It matches the Rfam family "tRNA". From Rfam's summary of the family: Transfer RNA (tRNA) molecules are approximately 80 nucleotides in length. The record is from RNAcentral. Lineage: Bacteria; Candidatus Altimarinota.
GCAGCCAUAGCUCAGUUGGAAGAGCGCGGGCCUGCGAAGCUCGAGGUCGCAGGUUCAAGCCCUGCUGGUUGCACCA